AAGUCAUAACAAGGUUUCCGUAGGUGAACCUGCGGAAGGAUCAUUAAUAAUGCCCUUUGACUUCGGUCUAUCGGGUUCAAUGUGUGCCUUCUCUUCGGAGUUGGCCAUCCACACACACCGUGAACUGUGGCUUCGGCCAUCACAAACUAUUAGUAAUGAAUGUAAUAUCAUAACAAAAUAAAACUUUUAACAACGGAUCUCUUGGCUCUC
This 210-nucleotide unclassified non-coding RNA is filed under the name Vishniacozyma tephrensis. RNAcentral describes it as "partial internal transcribed spacer region". The stretch from base 1 to 46 matches the Rfam family "Eukaryotic small subunit ribosomal RNA", at positions 1786 to 1831 of the family's 1831-position model. Lineage: Eukaryota; Fungi; Basidiomycota; Tremellomycetes; Tremellales; Bulleribasidiaceae. The record is from RNAcentral.